RNAcentral lists this long non-coding RNA (206 nucleotides) under Elaeis guineensis (African oil palm). RNAcentral describes it as "long non-coding RNA (EGUI_LNC067427)". Lineage: Eukaryota; Viridiplantae; Streptophyta; Magnoliopsida; Arecales; Arecaceae. The record is from RNAcentral.
CCGCUACAGAAGUUCGGUCGGAGUCUGGUUCCCGUAGAAGUCCGGAUGGGGAUCAUUUGUUGAGGAAGCUCAGUCGAAGCCUGCCUACAAUAGAAGUCCGAAAGAAAUUCGUUCACAAGGGAAGCUCGGGUGGAGGCUUACAGUAGAAAUCCGACGUGGACCGCUCGUAGUAGAAAUUUGAAGUAGACCACUUGUAGUAGUAGCUC